This 345-nucleotide ribosomal RNA is filed under the name Coptotermes formosanus (Formosan subterranean termite). RNAcentral describes it as "partial 16S ribosomal RNA". Lineage: Eukaryota; Metazoa; Arthropoda; Insecta; Blattodea; Rhinotermitidae. The record is from RNAcentral.
CUUUUCUUGUUAGUUUUUGAAGUAUGGCCUGCCCGCUGACUUGAGUGUUGAAGGGCCGCGGUAUUUUGACCGUGCAAAGGUAGCAUAAUCAUUAGUUCUUUAAUUGUGAUCUGGAAUGAAUGGCUUGACGAGSCACAAGCUGUCUUAAUGUUGAAUGUUUUAUUGAAUUUGGUUUUUGAGUUAAAAUUCUUAGAUGUUUUUGUGGGACGAGAAGACCCUAUAGAGUUUAACAUUUGGUUUAUUUGUUUGUUUGUUGUUUGUUUGUUUUGUUGGUGAGUGGACUUUUUGUUUUGUUGGGGUGAUGGGAGGAAUAUAAUUAACUCCUCCUUGAUUUUGGUUAUAUUG